CUUCCAGACUCCUACGGGAGGCAGCAGUGAGGAAUAUUGGUCAAUGGGCUUACGCCUGAACCAGCCAAGUCGCGUGAGGGAAGACGGUCCUAUGGAUUGUAAACCUCUUUAGGCGGGGAGCAAUGCCGGGCACGCGUGUCCGGAGGGAGAGUACCCGCAGAAUAAGCAUCGGCUAACUCCGUGCCAGCAGCCGCGGUAAUACGGAGGAUGCGGGCGUUAUCCGGAUUUAUUGGGUUUAAAGGGUGCGUAGGCGGAUUUUUAAGUCAGCGGUAAAAUGUCCGGGCUCAACCCGGGCCGGCCGUUGAAACUGGGUGCCUUGAGUGGGCGAGAAGUACGCGGAAUGCGUGGUGUAGCGGUGAAAUGCAUAGAUAUCGCGCAGAACUCCGAUUGCGAAGGCAGCAUGCCGGCUCCACACUGACGCUGAGGCACGAAAGCGUGGGUAUCGAACAGGAUUAGAUACCCCGGUAAA
RNAcentral lists this ribosomal RNA (469 nucleotides) under uncultured bacterium. Its description in RNAcentral is "bacterial SSU rRNA". It matches the Rfam family "Bacterial small subunit ribosomal RNA", at positions 328 to 794 of the family's 1533-position model. The record is from RNAcentral.